Long non-coding RNA from Heterocephalus glaber (naked mole-rat), 2010 nucleotides. The record is from Ensembl. NCBI's taxonomy places the organism in Eukaryota, Metazoa, Chordata, Mammalia, Rodentia, Bathyergidae.
GGAGGCUGAGGCAGGAGGAUCACAAGUGUGAGCCCAGCCUGGGCAACUUGGAGACCUAGUAGGACCCUGUAUCAAAAUAAAAAAGGCUGGGCAGAGAGCUCAAUGUGAAGGGCCUGGGUUCCAUCCUCAGUGCCACAAAUAAGGAGAGAGGAGGAGGGGCUGUUACCCUCCUUCCAGUGGUCCUGGGGCCCCACGAUGCCACCCCACAUGUGAUCAGCUUCAAACAUUUUGCUUAAGCCAACGGGCCAGAAAUGGGGCCUCUCUGAUUAUGCACCAAGGCCCUGGUGAUCAUGUCAUCCCAGAGGUUGCCACGGCAGUGUCCCUGGCCCCUGGGACUCCAAGCCGUCCAUCAGGGACCCAGAACCACACGCUGAGUGGCCGGAUGAAGAAGCCAGGGAAGCAGCACCAGCCCCAGGGAAGUGGGGGACAUCCUUCGUGGGCCGGGCUGGGCAGCAGGGAAUAGGGCAGGGCGGGCAGGGGAGGGGCUCCACAGGCUGCGGAGAGGGAUUAUAUAUUCAUCAGAAUCUUAAACAAAAGCCCUGCAGCCGCCUGUCAGCCGCGCUAUGGCUUUUAUGGUAAUCAGCGAUGAAUUACCCACAAUGCCUGGCCAAGCGCAAGUGGUUCUUGGCCCGGAUCCUAAACUAAUUUUUGGAUGUUUGUGUGUAUAUAAUUUUGCUCACUCCCUCCCGCUCCUUUCCUUCAUUAAUGGGAACAGGGAAGCAGGGGGAGACACAAGCAGAAGGAACCCUGAGUGUACAGUGGGGUGCAGCCCUCAUCAAGACCCCUGGCACUCAGGCCUACAUGGCUCCAUGCCCUGGGAGCAGAGUGAGGAGAGGGAGAGGGGAGAGAGGAGGCUGGAAAUCACCAAAAGCCACAACUACUGAAGUCAGGUCUCUGCCAUGUGCUGGGUGACCUUAGUUCCGAGCUGGAGUCCCUGCAUCAAGCCGUUCCUGAAGCCAGCGUCCUUGAAUAUGUUUCCUUCAGCUAUGAGAGCCAGCUCCCCUGCUUUUCACUAAGUGCCAUUAGCAGAAAGCAACACGCACGCGCCAUCUCUCCCACCUGGGCCCGGGAGGCGGUGCCCACCUACUGCGAGAUUCCCCCCCCGGCCACUGGCUCAAGACCGUCGGCACGGUCCAUCUGAGCAGCACCCACCGUGCGCUGGCCCAGCGCUGGACAAAGGAGGCAUCGAUGUCACCCGGGGCUCACGGAGACCCAGCAGAAAGCCCUGGCCACGCCCGGAACACCCGGCCCUGCUCUCCACCCAGGCAACUCCUGUUGGCCAGCACUCCCCAGACCAGCGCCACCUCCUCUAAGACGCCUCCUCUGCCUCCCCUCCCCCAGGCGGUUCUGGGGGCUUCUGUCUUUCCUUGCGUUCAAGACGCACCAGGAUCCGAAGCAUCAACCACAAGGAACGAACAACACCCCGAUUACACCACCGUAACACGAGACUUUGUUCAGGUGGGGAAACUGAGGCCCAGAGAGGCAAAGCACAGAAACAGGGACAGCACCAGCACCAGCACCAGGGUUCAGGCUCUGGACAUGUGGGACAAGAAUUCACCUUCCAGGGCUUCCCAGGGUGAUGGCCCGGACUCCUCAGCCAGAGCCCUGGUGGCCACGGGGAUAAGCAGCUGCCCCGCGGGGCUGAAACGUAGCCAGCGAUGCUCCUGCGAGGGGAGGCCCCGCGUCACGCGUGGGCGGCAGAGCCGGAACUCGGGGCACAGCUAUUUCUGGAGGCCGAGGCGAGAAAGUGGGGGCGGCGGAAGAGCCUCACAGGAACGGGGAGGCUGGGGGCCCCGGCGGGGGGCUCAGGGCCUGGUGUCCUCUGUGGGAAUGGAGAGCCGGGUGCAGAACCCCGAGCCCCUGUGGGCGCCAGAGGAGGAGCCAGGCAGGGAUGCUGUCCCCAACAGGCGACAAGACGCCCGGACAGACUGGCCGGGCCCUGGGGCAAAGCCAAGCUAGGACCUGGAAAUGUGGAGCCGGGUGGACGGCUGGGCUGCAGAUUUAAAUACG